UACGUAGGGGGCAAGCGUUGUCCGGAUUUAUUGGGCGUAAAGAGCGUGUAGGCGGCCCGACAGGUCCGUUGUGAAAACUCGAGGCUCAACCUCGAGACGUCGAUGGAAACCGUCGGGCUAGAGUCCGGAAGAGGAGAGUGGAAUUCCUGGUGUAGCGGUGAAAUGCGCAGAUAUCAGGAGGAACACCGAUGGCGAAGGCAGGUCUCUGGGCCAUAACUGACGCUGAGAAGCGAAAGCAUGGGGAGCGAACAGG
This 253-nucleotide ribosomal RNA is filed under the name uncultured bacterium. RNAcentral's name for it is "partial 16S ribosomal RNA". It matches the Rfam family "Bacterial small subunit ribosomal RNA", at positions 524 to 776 of the family's 1533-position model. The record is from RNAcentral.